Molecule: unclassified non-coding RNA, 397 nt
Filed under: Hevea brasiliensis (rubber tree)
Lineage: Eukaryota; Viridiplantae; Streptophyta; Magnoliopsida; Malpighiales; Euphorbiaceae
Source: RNAcentral
GUUUUCUCCGCUUCUGCUUAAAACUCCUGCACAAAGGAACUUUACAAACAUCUGAAUUGGCACAAAGGCGAGAAUGCAGCUCCAAAACUUGCCACAUCCUCUUGCAGUGGAUGCAGCCACCUGGGACUCUCAACUUGCACCCAGCAAAGUGACGAAUAAGGGAUUCUAGCCCUUUGCAUGCUGCAUAAUGGCAUGGUUCUUGAUCCUCUUUCAAAACCUUAUCGUGAGGACCAAUUGUACGGCAACCAUCUUUGCAUAUGUGAACCAGGGCUUCCAUUGCCUCAUAUAACUGCAUAUACAUUUUCCUCUCAUUGCUCUUUCUCACCCUUUCCUUUUCCCUAAUAUCCUCAUCAAUUAUGGAUUUCAACAUCUGUUUUUCAAGCACAGGAUGGCUUUG